CCCCUAGAUGUUCUGGGCCGCACGCGCGCUACACUGAACAGUUCAACAAGUCUUAACCUUGGCCGAUAGGUCUGGGUAAUCUUUGAACGCUGUUCGUGAUUGGGAUAGACCUUUGCAAUUAUGGGUCUUCAACGAGGAAUUCCUAGUAAACGCAAGUCAUCAGCUUGCAUUGAUUACGUCCCUGCCCUUUGUACACACCGCCCGUCGCACCUACUGAUUGGAUGACUCGGUGAAGAAUCGGGACCGUGAGAACAAUCGAUUCAUUUCGAAUGUACUUGUGGGAACCUUUCUUAACCUCGUUUUCUAGAAGAAGGUGAANUCGUANCA
This 327-nucleotide ribosomal RNA is filed under the name uncultured eukaryote. RNAcentral's name for it is "partial 18S ribosomal RNA". It matches the Rfam family "Eukaryotic small subunit ribosomal RNA", at positions 1470 to 1796 of the family's 1831-position model. The record is from RNAcentral.